GAUGAAGAACGCAGCGAAAUGCGAUAAUUAAUGUGAAUUGCAGAAUUCCGUGAAUCAUCGAGUCUUUGAACGCACAUUGCGCCUCAUGGCAUUCCGUGAGGCAUGCCCAUCUCAGCGUUAGAAAAUAUUCUCAAAUUUUAGUUUUGUGCUAAAAUUUGGAUCAUGUCAAGGAAGCUAUUACUAUUAUUGUAAUCGCUCUUUGGAAAUUGAUAGGUCUUUGAGUUGCUACUCAUAGAACGUGAUGAAUCUUUCUUCGUUCUAUUGUAAUUCACUCUGGUAGUCCUAAAACUUGUAUGCCUGUGGCAUAUCUUGUAAUUUGACCUGAGAUUGGGUAGGGAUACCCGCUGAACUUAAGCAUAUCAAUAAGCGGAGGA
Molecule: unclassified non-coding RNA, 374 nt
Filed under: soil metagenome
Description: partial contains internal transcribed spacer 2 and large subunit ribosomal RNA
Rfam family: 5.8S ribosomal RNA (bases 1-120)
Source: RNAcentral